GCGCAUGGGGGGAGGCCCUUACCAUGCAAGUCGAACGGCAGCACGGGGGCAACCCUGGUGGCGAGUGGCGAACGGGUGAGUAACAUAUCGGAACGUGCCCUGGAGUGGGGGAUAACUAGUCGAAAGAUUAGCUAAUACCGCAUACGAUCUACGGAUGAAAGUGGGGGAUCGCAAGACCUCAUGCUCGUGGAGCGGCCGAUAUCUGAUUAGCUAGUUGGUGGGGUAAAGGCCUACCAAGGCAUCGAUCAGUAGCUGGUCUGAGAGGACGACCAGCCACACUGGGACUGAGACACGGCCCAGACUCCUACGGGAGGCAGCAGUGGGGAAUUUUGGACAAUGGGCGCAAGCCUGAUCCAGCAAUGCCGCGUGAGUGAAGAAGGCCUUCGGGUUGUAAAGCUCUUUUGUCAGGGAAGAAACGGUUCGGGUUAAUACCUUGGGCUAAUGACGGUACCUGAAGAAUAAGCACCGGCUAACUACGUGCCAGCAGCCGCGGUAAUACGUAGGGUGCAAGCGUUAAUCGGAAUUACUGGGCGUAAAGCGUGCGCAGGCGGUUGUGCAAGACAGAUGUGAAAUCCCCGGGCUCAACCUGGGAAUUGCAUUUGUGACUGUACGGCUAGAGUGUGUCAGAGGGGGGUAGAAUUCCACGUGUAGCAGUGAAAUGCGUAGAGAUGUGGAGGAAUACCGAUGGCGAAGGCAGCCCCCUGGGAUAACACUGACGCUCAUGCACGAAAGCGUGGGGAGCAAACAGGAUUAGAUACCCUGGUAGUCCACGCCCUAAACGAUGUCUACUAGUUGUCGGGUCUUUAUUGACUUGGUAACGCAGCUAACGCGUGAAGUAGACCGCCUGGGGGAGUACGGUCGCAAGAUUAAAACUCAAAGGAAUUGACGGGGACUCGCACAAGCGGUGGGAUGAUGUGGAUUAAUUCGAUGCAACGCGAAAAAUCUUUACCUACCCUUGACAUGGUCGGAAGCCUUCGAGAGAUUGAGGCCGUGCCUCGAAAAGAAGAGCCCGAUACACAGGGUGCUGCCAUGGGCUGUUCGGUCAGCCUCGUGUCGUGAGAAAGUUGGGGUUUAAGUUCUCGCAACGAAGCGCAAACCCUUGUCAUUAGUUUGCUACCAUUUAGUUGGCACUUCUAAUGGAGAACCUGCCGGGUGACAAACCGGAAGGAAAGGUGGGCAUGACGUUCAAGGUCUCAUUGCCUUAAGUAGCUUCCACCGGCUAUACCAAUGGUACAUUACCAGAGGUUCCGUGUCCUCUAAUACUCGCGCGUAAG
Molecule: ribosomal RNA, 1274 nt
Filed under: uncultured bacterium
Lineage: Bacteria
Description: partial 16S ribosomal RNA
Rfam family: Bacterial small subunit ribosomal RNA
Source: RNAcentral